UUUCCGUAGGUGAACCUGCGGAAGGAUCAUUAUUGAAUUGUAAUGGGCUUUGAUGCUGACUUCGUUAAGGAGUAUGUGCUCGGCCUUUAAUCCAAUCAACCACUGUGCACUUACAUUUGAUGAAGUUGUAGUCUCCCCAAGUAAUUGGGAGCGGCUGAGCCCUCUGGGGCGAAGCUGGGAUUUCAACUUUGUUAAUCACCAUAAACCACUUUAUUGUCCUGUAGAAUGUGAUAUUAUAAAUAAUACAACUUUCAACAACGGAUCUCUUGGCUCUC
This 275-nucleotide unclassified non-coding RNA is filed under the name plant metagenome. RNAcentral's name for it is "partial contains small subunit ribosomal RNA, internal transcribed spacer 1, and 5.8S ribosomal RNA". The record is from RNAcentral.